Pipra filicauda (Wire-tailed manakin) is the source of this 2042-nucleotide long non-coding RNA. RefSeq lists it as uncharacterized. The record is from RefSeq and is a predicted model, not a curated record. Lineage: Eukaryota; Metazoa; Chordata; Aves; Passeriformes; Pipridae. The transcript is spliced from 4 exons.
CAGCGCCCCGUGACCGCGGCGCCCCGUGCAGAGGCGGGCACGGGCACGGCUGCGGUCGGUCCCGGAGCUCGGUCACCGCCUGUUCCACGGCCACUGACAACGCGUGAAACCGAACAGCUCCUCGGCUCGCUUCAUCUGCCAGCGCGGCCGGACUCUGUUAUGUUCGAGGCGAUGGUUCAAGGAGUGAAAUUACGUACACCAAGUCUCAUACCAAUUAAGACUUUAACCACUAAUUGCCAAGAAUAAAAGAAAAGCAACCUGAAGUGGAAAUAAGACAGCUUACAUCACGUCCAGCUUCACCAGGAGCACCAUUUGGACCAGGAGAACCCACAGGACCAGAGGGACCACGGGCACCAGGAGGACCAGAAACACCCAGGGGACCAGGUUCACCCUAAUACAGGAACAGUGAGAUGCCUGGAAGACCACGUUCUCCCCGAGAACCAGGCAGACCAAGAAUACCAGGAGCACCAAGAAUACCCUGAGGACCUGGGGUACCAGGAGGACCCUGUGAUGUGAAGAGCAUAAUUUUUAUAUUACAAGACAAUAAUAAAUUUAACAUACAUAUCUGUCAAUGAUACUGAAGAUUUCGUUCUCAGCUGCAACUUCUGCAGAUCACAGAAGACAUUUCUAUAAUUUUUUUGUUGAGAAACAAUGGGAGUAUUUCACAGAGGUACUCACUUCAAUAAGACAGAAAUGUGUAUGACCUUAAAAAAAGCCAGUAAUUUAGAUGUGCAAGCUUAAAGAUACUCAAAAUUAAUUAAUUUAUUUGCAUAGUUCUAAGUCAACCUGGGGGAAGACAACUUUAACAUCAUGAUCCCCACAAAUCAGAGUUUCUGAUGCAGCUAUGAAUUGAGAUUGUUCUAAAUGGAUGUUUACAUGUUCCCUUUUCCAUCCAUGAUGAUCAAUUUCAGAGCAGGAGACUCUGCUCCCCUUUCUCAGACUAAGUAUCAAUUUUUUCUCUAAUUAGUCAUAUUGCUUUCAUUUGCUCCACUUACAGAGAAAGAUACAACGCGCCACAAGAAAAACAAAGAGCAAAAAAAACCUGAUCCAGGGAUCAGGUUCACUUUUUAAAGGCGUGUUUGUCAAACACACCUAUAAACAAUUUCUUGUGUCUCACUGGAACUAUUUAAAAGCUUUGCUAAAUUUGUGGGUAAAACACAAAAGCCCUUCACAAACAUCGAAAGUAUCUUAGAAGCCAUAACAUUUACAUAAGAGAAACACCUUUAACGAGCUGUUAUACUCAGUAACUUACAGCAGCACCGGCCUCUCCAGAUGGACCUUUCUCACCAGCAAAGCCAGGCGGGCCAGCAAUACCUUGUUCACCAGUGCGGCCAACUGGUCCAACAUCACCACGCAGACCUCUAGGACCAUCUUUGCCAGCUGGGCCAGGAGGACCAGGGGGACCAGUGAUGCCCUAGGAUCGAAACUUCAUUAGUUACUUACAGCAGGGCCAGGAGGACCAACUCUUCCAGCAGCACCAGGGAAACCAGUCAUGCCCUAAAAAUGAUAGUGAAAAGGAAGAUUAAUUUUAAAAGCAACAAUAACUUCAUGAAAAGCAACAACAUCAGUACCAAAAGUUUGAAGACUUACAGGAGGACCAGCAUCACCACGAGGGCCAGCAGGACCAGCAGCACCAGCAGGACCCUAGGUAUGAAGGAUUGAAAAAGAGAGAUGGAAUAAGCAAAGGCAGUUAAUGUUCCCUAUUUACAAUAAGGGCUCAGUGUCUCUCUUGUGAUAGCUAAGGGUAAUUUUUACUCCAGCAGGAGGAUAACUAUCCUGGUACUAGGGUAUUAAGUUCUCACAGACAUUUAAAAUCAGCAUCAUAAGGCCUAGGAAGAGUUGCAUAUAAGGCAUUUAUGAUUCAAAUGAAUUUCCUUGCAAAUGUUAUGUGCAUCUAAACAAAUCUGGAAAUCAAAAUGUGAAAGUAGGGCAAAACCAGUAAGUCCCCCUUUUGCACUGUGUGACUUACACAUCCACAUAGUGCAAGAGCCUGGUGUUGGUCUAUUAAAAUUAUACAGUAAGUACCCCAAGUCAUGUUAUCU